RNAcentral lists this ribosomal RNA (468 nucleotides) under uncultured bacterium. RNAcentral describes it as "partial 16S ribosomal RNA". It matches the Rfam family "Bacterial small subunit ribosomal RNA", at positions 28 to 507 of the family's 1533-position model. The record is from RNAcentral.
GACGAACGCUGGCGGCGUGCUUAACACAUGCAAGUCGAACGGAAAGGCCCUGCUUUUGUGGGGUGCUCGAGUGGCGAACGGGUGAGUAACACGUGAGUAACCUGCCCUUGACUUUGGGAUAACUUCAGGAAACUGGGGCUAAUACCGGAUAGGAGCUCCUGCUGCAUGGUGGGGGUUGGAAAGUUUCGGCGGUUGGGGAUGGACUCGCGGCUUAUCAGCUUGUUGGUGGGGUAGUGGCUUACCAAGGCUUUGACGGGUAGCCGGCCUGAGAGGGUGACCGGCCACAUUGGGACUGAGAUACGGCCCAGACUCGUACGGGAGGCAGCAGUGGGGAAUCUUGCACAAUGGGCGGAAGCCUGAUGCAGCAACGCCGCGUGCGGGAUGACGGCCUUCGGGUUGUAAACCGCUUUCGCCUGUGACGAAGCGUGAGUGACGGUAAUGGGUAAAGAAGCACCGGCUAACUACGUG